CUUGAGAUGAGUUUUCCCUGGCGCUAUAAGCGUCCUAAAGGGUUGUCGUAGACUACGACGUUGAUAGGCAGGGUGUGUAAGUGCUGCGAGGCAUUGAGCUAACCUGUACUAAUUGCCCGUGAGGCUUAACCAUACAACACCCAAGGGGUUU
RNAcentral lists this ribosomal RNA (151 nucleotides) under Vibrio lentus. RNAcentral describes it as "partial 23S ribosomal RNA". The stretch from base 1 to 133 matches the Rfam family "Bacterial large subunit ribosomal RNA", at positions 2798 to 2925 of the family's 2925-position model. The record is from RNAcentral. Lineage: Bacteria; Pseudomonadati; Pseudomonadota; Gammaproteobacteria; Vibrionales; Vibrionaceae.